CCUACGGGGGACAGCAGUAGGGAAUAUUGCUCAAUGGGGGAAACCCUGAAGCAGCAACGCCGCGUGGAGGAUGAAGGUUUUCGGAUUGUAAACUCCUUUUGUUAGAGAAGAUAAUGACGGUAUCUAACGAAUAAGCACCGGCUAACUCCGUACCAGCAGCCGUGGUAAUACGGGGGGUGCAAGUGUUACUCGGAAUCACUGGGCGUAAGGAGCGCGUAGGCGGGUUAGCAAGUCAGGGGUGAAAUCCUAGGCCUAAACCCUAGAACUGCAUUUGAAACUUUUAUUCUAGAGUGUGAGAAGGAUGGUGGAAGUCUGGGUGUGGGGUGAAAAGCAGUAGAAAUCAAGAGGAAUACUCAU
Molecule: ribosomal RNA, 357 nt
Filed under: uncultured bacterium
Lineage: Bacteria
Description: partial 16S ribosomal RNA
Rfam family: Bacterial small subunit ribosomal RNA
Source: RNAcentral